Molecule: signal recognition particle RNA, 294 nt
Filed under: Saimiri boliviensis boliviensis (Bolivian squirrel monkey)
Lineage: Eukaryota; Metazoa; Chordata; Mammalia; Primates; Cebidae
Description: Metazoan signal recognition particle RNA (ENSSBOG00000000130.1)
Rfam family: Metazoan signal recognition particle RNA
About the family: The signal recognition particle (SRP) is a universally conserved ribonucleoprotein. It is involved in the co-translational targeting of proteins to membranes. The eukaryotic SRP consists of a 300-nucleotide 7S RNA and six proteins: SRPs 72, 68, 54, 19, 14, and 9.
Source: RNAcentral
GCUAGGGGUGGCAUACCUGUAGUCCCAGCUUCUCAGGAGGCUGAGGUGGGAAGAUCACUUGAGCCCAGGAGUUCUGGGCUGUAGUGUGCUGUGCCGAUCAGGUGUCCGCACUAAGUUUGGCAUCAAUAUGGUGACCACCUGGGAGCAGGGGACCACCAGGUUGCCUAAGGAGGAGUGAACUGGCCCAGGUCAAAAGCGGAGCAGGUCAAAACUCCCAUGUUGAUCAGUAGUGGGAUCGUGCCUGUGAAUAGCUACUGCACUCCAGCCUGGGCAACAUAGCUAGACCCUAUUUCU